RNAcentral lists this unclassified non-coding RNA (272 nucleotides) under Glomus sp. Its description in RNAcentral is "partial contains 5.8S ribosomal RNA and internal transcribed spacer 2". The record is from RNAcentral. Lineage: Eukaryota; Fungi; Glomeromycota; Glomeromycetes; Glomerales; Glomeraceae.
GUGAAUCAUCAAAUCUUUGAACGCAAAUUGCACUGGCUUCGGAGAGUAAGCCUGUUUGAGGGUCAGCCUAAAAAAAAUCGACAUAGUCGCUGUCUCGUGGUGGCACUCGUCGGAAAUUGGGUCAUCUUAAACCUUUUGGUUUUAAGCGGUUUAAAAUCUUCUUUACGACUCCACGAACGUUUUUAAGAUUUACGUACACGUUUAAGGUAUCGAUCUUUAUUAGAAGUGGCCGUUGCAUAGGAUCGAGUCCAUAAGUAUUUCGUUAACUGAUA